Molecule: ribosomal RNA, 579 nt
Filed under: Triticum aestivum (bread wheat)
Lineage: Eukaryota; Viridiplantae; Streptophyta; Magnoliopsida; Poales; Poaceae
Description: partial small subunit ribosomal RNA
Source: RNAcentral
AUGAAAACUAACCAUGCCCCUGGACCAGAUGACAUCCCUGUUGAGUUUUAUCAACAUUGCUGGGAGGUAGUUUCCCCGAAUCUAGUGAGCAUGUUUGAGUGGUUUUAUGAGGGCAAGCUAGAUGUACAGAGGCUGAAUUAUGGCAUUAUAACUCUGUUACCUAAGUCAUCAGAGGCCAAUAGAAUUCAGCAAUAUAGGCCCAUUUGUUUGUUGCGUUGUCCCUACAAAUUACUCACCAAAGCCAUGGACAUUAGGGCCAGCCAAUAUGCACAUAAGUUGUUCAGUGUGCAACAAAAUGCUUUCAUUAAAGGGAGACAUAUAGUUGAUGGCAUAUUAUCCUUGCAUGAGAUUUUACACUAUACUCAUAUCAAGAAGCAAGUGGGCGUAAUACUUAAGCUUGAUAUCGAGAAAGCUUAUGACAAAGUUAAUUGGGAGUUUUUACUCAAUUGUCAUGUGAAACGUGGGUUUAACUCCAAGUGGUGUGGGUGGGUUUCUCAAAUUCUUAUGAAUGGCACAGUCAGCAUCAAGAUCAAUGAUGAGGUAGGGCCAUACAUACAAAGUGCUAAGGGGGUGAGAUAG